AACGAACGCUGGCGGCAGGCUUAACACAUGCAAGUCGAACGCCCCGCAAGGGGAGUGGCCGACGGGUGCGUACCGCGUGGGAACAUACCCUUUCCUGCGGAAUAGCUCCGGGAAACUGGAAUUAAUACCGCAUACGCCCUACGGGGGAAAGAUUUAUCGGGGAAGGAUUGGCCCGCGUUGGAUUAGCUAGUUGGUGGGGUAAAGGCCUACCAAGGCGACGAUCCAUAGCUGGUCUGAGAGGAUGAUCAGCCACAUUGGGACUGAGACACGGCCCAAACUCCUACGGGAGGCAGCAGUGGGGAAUAUUGGACAAUGGGCGCAAGCCUGAUCCAGCCAUGCCGCGUGAGUGAUGAAGGCCUUAGGGUUGUAAAGCUCUUUCACCGAUGAAGAUAAUGACGGUAGUCGGAGAAGAAGCCCCGGCUAACUUCGUG
Molecule: ribosomal RNA, 431 nt
Filed under: uncultured bacterium
Lineage: Bacteria
Description: partial 16S ribosomal RNA
Rfam family: Bacterial small subunit ribosomal RNA
Source: RNAcentral